AUCAACAUAAGCUUCAAACUUGACCAGUACUCAAUAAUAUUUAUACCAAUCGCUCUAUAUGUCACAUGAU
Molecule: transfer RNA, 70 nt
Filed under: Geochelone elegans (star tortoise)
Lineage: Eukaryota; Metazoa; Chordata; Testudines; Testudinidae
Description: tRNA-His
Source: RNAcentral